GGCCGCGUCGACGACGGUACCUGAGGAGGAAGCCACGGCUAACUACGUGCCAGCAGCCGCGGUAAUACGUAGGUGGCAAGCGUUGUCCGGAAUUACUGGGUGUAAAGGGAGCGCAGGCGGGUGUGCAAGUUGGAUGUUUAAACUAUGGGCUCAACCCAUAGGUGCAUUCAAAACUGUAUAUCUUGAGUGGUGCAGAGGCAGGCGGAAUUCCCGGUGUAGCGGUGGAAUGCGUAGAUAUCGGGAGGAACACCAGUGGCGAAGGCGGCCUGUCGACGCGGCCG
RNAcentral lists this ribosomal RNA (281 nucleotides) under uncultured bacterium. RNAcentral's name for it is "partial 16S ribosomal RNA". It matches the Rfam family "Bacterial small subunit ribosomal RNA", at positions 459 to 739 of the family's 1533-position model. The record is from RNAcentral.